This 88-nucleotide transfer RNA is filed under the name Acidimicrobiales bacterium. RNAcentral's name for it is "tRNA-Sec". It matches the Rfam family "Selenocysteine transfer RNA". Lineage: Bacteria; Bacillati; Actinomycetota; Acidimicrobiia; Acidimicrobiales. The record is from RNAcentral.
GGAGGCGAUCGGGUACCUGGUGGUCUCCGCGGCCUUCAAAGCCGUUGGCACCCAAUGCGGGUGCGGGGUUCGAUUCCCUUCGCCUCCG